RNAcentral lists this long non-coding RNA (352 nucleotides) under Mustela putorius furo (domestic ferret). RNAcentral's name for it is "lncRNA (ENSMPUG00000026117.1)". Lineage: Eukaryota; Metazoa; Chordata; Mammalia; Carnivora; Mustelidae. The record is from RNAcentral.
GUCAGAAAUCACAUUGUUUUUGUUCUCUCACCAAAGCCAUGCCUUACUUAGCGUUUCUCGGACUUUAAUACAACACUGACUUCUGCAAAAUCCAGCCGAGCUUUCACGGGUCCCCCUUCUGCUGCUGCCACUUUUACCAAGAAGGAUCCUAAAAACAGGAAGGAGAAAACAAACAAACAAACAAUCAAACAAACAAAAAAACAGCAAGAUUUUUUAAAAAGCCAUUGCGUCUCUGAGAGAUUCAAUGACCAUGUUUGAUGACAAGCCAGAUGGCAGCCGUUCUCUAGACCCGGUGCCAAGAAGCCUGACAGGAACCGCAAUUUACCUUCCGCGGUGAGGCUAGCCGCCGAAG